AGAGUUUGAUCCUGGCUCAGGACGAACGCUGGCGGCGUGCUUAACACAUGCAAGUCGAACGGAAAGGCCCUGCUUUUGUGGGGUGCUCGAGUGGCGAACGGGUGAGUAACACGUGAGUAACCUGCCCUUGACUUUGGGAUAACUUCAGGAGACUGGGGCUAAUACCGGAUAGGAGCUCCUGCUGCAUGGUGGGGGUUGGAAAGUUUCGGCGGUUGGGGAUGGACUCGCGGCUUAUCAGCUUGUUGGUGGGGUAGUGGCUUACCAAGGCUUUGACGGGUAGCCGGCCUGAGAGGGUGACCGGCCACAUUGGGACUGAGAUACGGCCCAGACUCCUACGGGAGGCAGCAGUGGGGAAUAUUGCACAAUGGGCGGAAGCCUGAUGCAGCAACGCCGCGUGCGGGAUGACGGCCUUCGGGUUGUAAACCGCUUUCGCCUGUGACGAAGCGUGAGUGACGGUAAUGGGUAAAGAAGCACCGGCUAACUACGUGCCAGCAGCCGCGGUAAUAC
This 507-nucleotide ribosomal RNA is filed under the name uncultured Propionibacterium sp. Its description in RNAcentral is "bacterial SSU rRNA". It matches the Rfam family "Bacterial small subunit ribosomal RNA", at positions 8 to 526 of the family's 1533-position model. The record is from RNAcentral. Lineage: Bacteria; Bacillati; Actinomycetota; Actinomycetes; Propionibacteriales; Propionibacteriaceae.